RNAcentral lists this unclassified non-coding RNA (875 nucleotides) under Bombus terrestris (buff-tailed bumblebee). RNAcentral's name for it is "misc RNA ENSBTSG00005025300.1". Lineage: Eukaryota; Metazoa; Arthropoda; Insecta; Hymenoptera; Apidae. The record is from RNAcentral.
UAAAAUUAUAUUAAUGGGUAAGGAAAGAAGAAUAUUUCAAAAGUAAGAAUAGCGUUCACUUUUAUUCCCACAAUCAGGAACGUAUAAAAUACAAAUAUAAAUACGCAAUACAUACUUGGCAAUUGUAUCGAACAAAGAAACCUAUGACCAUAUCAAAUCAAGAGAACUGUCGAAAGCACACGGAUUCAAUGAGACGUAUAGUCGACAACUAUACAAUUUGCAUGUAUAUAAUUUACAUAUGCUUUGCGAAUCGACAAACGCGUAUAUUUCUUGAAAUUUGAAUCAAGAACGUGUAGCGUACAGUCGGCAUUUCUUCAAAUGCAUUAUUAAUGCAUUAUUAAUUUUCCACUAACUACGUCGAUAUUCGUAAUUUAUUAAUAAUCGUAUAAAACAUUGUCUCGUCAAAUUACCACGAUCGUGGUAAUACGCUUUACGAAAAUAACGUUUUACAAACGUCUAAUUUGAAUAUGAAAUUUUCAAAACAACACACAAAAGACUAGAACGAGAGUCUUACGUGUACCUAUACGAAUUUCGAAGGAACGUUCGAAAAAUUGUCAUUGUCGGUAAGCGAUAUGCCGAAGCAAUUUACUCUGUGCGUAACUAAUUUGAUAAUCGAUAUGGUCAAAGAAGUUCCAAUAUCGAUGGUGAUAAAUUUUGAAAGAAGAGAUUUUUUCUAAUAGAAAUUGCGAUAAAUAUUCGAGAAAAAGAGUUGUUUUCUGGCUCAUCUCGUGAAACGAAUUAACCGCCCCCAACGAAGUAAUCGACCAGAGUCGAGACUCGGAUCGUUACUGUCGCUAAAAAAGAAAGAACACCAGCGUGUUAUAGUCACCGUAAAAACACGAGUAACCGUACUUCUAAACACGAGUACCGACAAC